UAACAAGGAUUCCCCUAGUAACUGCGAGUGAAGCGGGAAAAGCUCAAAUUUAAAAUCUGGUAGUCUCUGGCUGCCCGAGUUGUAAUCUAGAGAAGUGUUAUCCGCGCUGGACCGUGUAUAAGUCUCCUGGAAUGGAGCGUCAUAGAGGGUGAGAAUCCCGUCUUUGACACGGACUACCAGGGCUUUGUGAUGCGCUCUCAAAGAGUCGAGUUGUUUGGGAAUGCAGCUCUAAAUGGGUGGUAAAUUCCAUCUAAAGCUAAAUAUUGGCGAGAGACCGAUAGCGAACAAGUACCGUGAGGGAAAGAUGAAAAGAACUUUGGAAAGAGAGUUAAACAGUACGUGAAAUUGUUGAAAGGGAAACGCUUGAAGUCAGUCGCGUUGGCUAGGAAUCAGCCUUGCUUUUGCUUGGUGUACUUCCUUGUUGACGGGUCAGCAUCAAUUUUGACCGGUGGAAAAAGGCUAGUGGAAUGUGGCAUCUUCGGAUGUGUUAUAGCUGCUAGUUGUAUACAUCGGUUGGGAUUGAGGAACUCAGCACGCCGAAAGGUCGGGGUUCGCCCACGUUCGUGCUUAGGAUGCUGGCAUAAUGGCUUUAAUCGACCCGUCUUGAAACACGGACCAAGGAGUCUAACAUGCCUGCGAGUGUUUGGGUGGAAAACCCGAGCGCGUAAUGAAAGUGAAAGUUGAGAUCCCUGUCGUGGGGAGCAUCGACGCCCGGACCU
RNAcentral lists this ribosomal RNA (719 nucleotides) under Clitopilus cystidiatus. Its description in RNAcentral is "eukaryotic LSU rRNA". It matches the Rfam family "Eukaryotic large subunit ribosomal RNA", at positions 66 to 772 of the family's 3401-position model. Lineage: Eukaryota; Fungi; Basidiomycota; Agaricomycetes; Agaricales; Entolomataceae. The record is from RNAcentral.